RNAcentral lists this long non-coding RNA (342 nucleotides) under Fukomys damarensis (Damara mole-rat). RNAcentral's name for it is "lncRNA (ENSFDAG00000024129.1)". The record is from RNAcentral. Lineage: Eukaryota; Metazoa; Chordata; Mammalia; Rodentia; Bathyergidae.
AAUGGUACUGCAGCUACAGGCCUUUCAGAAAUUCUUUCAGACUCAAACAGUUUUCAGCAGUCACAAGAGAUGUGAACAUUCCCAGGAUCUGUUUCUAUUUCUAGAAGACAGGAUUUUUAGAAUUUUAGAUCAAAGUUUCAGCUAGAUUAUUGUCUUUAUCCAGGAAUUACUCUGACGUUUGAACUCAGUCUAUCUGCCCAAAAAUAUGUCAUGAUUGUGCUGAAUAGGAUUGUAAUACCAUAGCUGUCUACUGCAACUUGUAUUAGCAUAUCAACAAAGUCAAUAAACAAGGCUCCAGAAUUUCCACAUCCCAUUCAGCUCAUCACAGGAAACUCCAUAAAG